GGAUGUGAGAGUGAUCUGGCUGUGACAUCUGUUAUCCCAUUGAUCACCAGGCUUGAUUAGGCUGAUCUGGCUCAUUAAGUGGGUGUCCUCUUCCUCUGUCAUGGCUCCAUGUGAGUCCUUCCUAAAGCUGUGUGGCCAAAGAAAAUGAUCUUCCCACAGUGGAGGAGAGUCAGCCUUUGGUCAAGGUAUACAGGUAGCUGCACUCCCCUGCUAGAAUCUCCAAACCAGUUCUCAAGAUUUUUAAAAUAUGAUGAUAGGGGCUUGGGGGAUGGCUCUGCCCUUAAAGGUGCUUACUUGCAAAGGCCACAGGUGCAAAUUU
This 319-nucleotide small nuclear RNA is filed under the name Jaculus jaculus (lesser Egyptian jerboa). RNAcentral's name for it is "7SK RNA (ENSJJAG00000004441.1)". It matches the Rfam family "7SK RNA". Rfam says of the family: 7SK was discovered as an abundant small nuclear RNA in the mid-70s but a possible function has only recently been suggested. Two independent studies have found that 7SK RNA binds the CDK9/cyclin T complex (known as elongation factor P-TEFb). P-TEFb activates transcription by phosphorylating the C-terminal domain of RNA polymerase II. The record is from Rfam by way of RNAcentral. Lineage: Eukaryota; Metazoa; Chordata; Mammalia; Rodentia; Dipodidae.